Molecule: ribosomal RNA, 549 nt
Filed under: uncultured Glomeromycotina
Lineage: Eukaryota; Fungi; Glomeromycota
Description: SSU rRNA
Rfam family: Eukaryotic small subunit ribosomal RNA
Source: RNAcentral
UUGGAGGGCAAGUCUGGUGCCAGCAGCCGCGGUAAUUCCAGCUCCAAUAGCGUAUAUUAAAGUUGUUGCAGUUAAAAAGCUCGUAGUUGAAUUUCGGGAUCAAUACGUCGGUCGUGCCUUCGGUACGCACUGGGGUCGUUGAUUCCUCCCUUCUGAUGAACCAUGAUGUCAUUAAUUUGGUGUCGUGGGGAGUCAGGACUGUUACUUUGAAAAAAUUAGAGUGUUUAAAGCAGGCAAACGCUUGAAUACAUUAGCAUGGAAUAAUGAAAUAGGACGUUCGAACCUAUUUUGUUGGUUUCUAGGUACAACGUAAUGAUUAAUAGGGAUAGUUGGGGGCAUUAGUAUUCAAUUGUCAGAGGUGAAAUUCUUGGAUUUAUUGAAGACUAACUACUGCGAAAGCAUUUGCCAAGGAUGCUUUCAUUAAUCAAGAACGAAAGUUAGGGGAUCGAAGACGAUCAGAUACCGUCGUAGUCUUAACCAUAAACUAUGCCGACUAGGGAUCGGAUGAAGUUAAUUUUUUAAUGACUCAUUCGGCGCCUUACGGGAAAC